RNAcentral lists this non-coding RNA (128 nucleotides) under Sphenodon punctatus (tuatara). Lineage: Eukaryota; Metazoa; Chordata; Lepidosauria; Sphenodontia; Sphenodontidae. The record is from RNAcentral.
AUGUUAUAAGAAUGGAGAGCAGGUUAGAACUCCCCUUGAUAAGAAUGGAAGAGGUCCUAGUGGCCUGUACAACUCAAAUAGAAUUAAGGUAUUGCCACUGAUGUCACGGCAUGUAACCAAAUUUUAAG